Cydia fagiglandana is the source of this 1123-nucleotide long non-coding RNA. RefSeq lists it as uncharacterized. NCBI's taxonomy places the organism in Eukaryota, Metazoa, Arthropoda, Insecta, Lepidoptera, Tortricidae. The record is from RefSeq and is a predicted model, not a curated record. The transcript is spliced from 2 exons.
UGGUAUGUGUUCUUUUAUAUUGUGCAAUUCGUAGUUAUAAAUAAUGUCCUUAUUUUUAGCUUUCGAAAUUAGUAAUUCUUUUUAUUUUUGGUGACUUCGGUUUUCUGUAAAUUGGAUCCGGUCAGUUGCGAUGUCAUUGAAUGGGAGGUUUUCCAUUCACCACUUUGUCUGUGGCUUUUGCCAUUUGAUUUUUCGCUUGAUCACUGGGAUAUUCCGUGACAAGAUGUAAGACGUAAUUUCGACAUCAGGUCGGCAAUUAAUUCAUGGGGUAUGUAUUUUAUUUAAAGAUUGUAUUUCCUAAAACUCGGUUAAAUUCGGUGUUCAAUGUUUUAAUCGUUGAUAUAUUUUGUUCCAGCUUGGCCCAAAAUAUGAUUAACCUGGCUUCCUAUGCGCCGGUAAUGGCGGCAUAACCUUUUCACCUCUUUCAAACCAACUUGGUGAGUUGUCCACACUUUCUAAAUAUACGGAAGGAAAGGCGAAGUUGUUUAUUGUCAAUUGCAAUUAGCUAAUGUCGUGUUUUGGUGUGAUUUUCCAGCAAUCCCUUGACAAAGAUGAGACAUCAUUUUGUUUCACCGCGUGCGCAUACGUCGCCACGUCUGGUGUCUAAUAUAAGGGACUCGGCUUAGAAACCGGGUCCUUUUGGCUAGGCCUGUCCUUUGGCUAGGCCUACUUCUUGGCUUGGCCUGUCCCUUGGCUUGCCUUCUUCAUCUUCUUGGCCCUAUGGCUUUUGGAAGAUCUAGGGUGGUGUCGCACCAUGCUAGAGGGGAAGCCGUCUUCUCCACUUAAUUUUUGGACUCGAGGUGAAGUGUUUAUUCGAUAAAGCUGUGAGUUAAAAACUUAUAUUUACAUUAGUGACUGUGUUCCUUUGCUGGAAAGGAUAAACAAUAUUUAAGUCUGAAUUUCUUUUUAACGUGAACUUUCUACAUGGUAAAUUCUAUUAUUAAUAUGAAACCUGCAAUUCCUAUGUAGGAUUUUGUGUGUAUUACAGGCCCAAAUAUGCCUGAGAUGUACUUAAGUUAAAUUUAAUUAGUAAUAGUUACGGUACGUAAUUUAAAUGUUAAGUCUCGAGGCCGCAGCAGGUCUUAUUGUGAUGUAAAGUGAAUAAAAGUAUUUAGUAAAUAAA